AGAGGUUACUCAUCAUACUGUAACUUGAGUUCUUUGAGAUGUUUUCUUCCUAUGGGUGCUCCACUACAGGAUGCAUGGCUACCCUUGACUGGAGAAUGCAAAGCAGUAUUCGAGGGUCCAUGCCUGCACAGAGCAGCACCCUCUGCCUCCAAAUGAGGGCACAAAAGAUGGCCUGGACCCACCACCACUUAGUUUCUUCUUGACUGUGAAGCAGAGCCACCACAGACAAGAAAAAGGAGGGCGAGAGACAGAGGACCCAGAGGGACAAAACAUCUUGAAGGACUCAAGUUACUGAAGGUAGUCUAAAAUUUUGGAAAGCAGAACCUCUGAUGCUGGAGAAGAGUGAAGAGAACAUCAGGAAUGGAAGUGUUCCCACUUCUGAAGCUGUACCCUGAAGGAGUGGCCUUUUACCGUGUGAAGGAAGCCUAUCGAAUGACUCCAGUCCAGAACGUGGAUGUAGAGUGUGACCUUUAUGUGGACCACUUCCCCUGCGCAGUGUCCCCUUUGAGACACCGCUCAUGGAGCUCCGUCUGCAGCCGAGGACAGUUGAGAAGGAAAUGAUGGGGGCCAUCACCACAAGGCGGCUACUGAGGCACAUGCACCUCGACCAGACACUGCUAACAAAAGUCUCCUAUCAAUGAUGCUGGGAUGCACAGACACCUACAGUGGAGCAUCCACAGGGACAGCACUCGAAGAAGAAUGCACGUUUCCUACUUCAAAACUCACUUUAGAAGCUAUGCCAUUAGGAGGGGACCUGAUAUCUGCUGAUCCUCUGUUACAAGACGACAGAUUAAAGACCCAAACAAUAUAAAGAAGACACUCUCAGAUUCAUGGGGGCCAGUAAGCUUAUUAGCAGUGUGCAGCUUUUUAUUGUUUUAAUAUGUUUUUCUGUAAUACUUUCACCUUAAGAAUAGAUGUACUAGCUUAGAAAUUGCUACGUAAUAACUGAAGCAUGAGCAGUACACUGCCUGAGGGAGGAAGGCAAAGACCUGCUGAGGCUGGGAAUUCACAAUAUAAGUAGGGAACUGUGCAGCUUGGAAAUAAAUCAGUCAGGAAAGAUAGAAGCAUGUCUCCGCCCAAGAGAAGUAACAGCUAGGGAGCCAGAAGCCUAAGAGUGAGUUCCCUUGCUGGACCAGAGAGAGAAAAGACAGGUGCAGCUGCCCUGAAUUGUGACUGGUAUAUCUAACAGUAAUGGUGUGUUGCAGGAAAAAAAACAACGGAUAUUUCUAUAUAAUACAAGGAAAGUUAUUGGCAAUACCAAAGUUAAAUCCCUGUUUUACUAAAAUUUCAUAUUACAAUUCUGAACUGAAUUUAGUGCUCACUGAAUUACAGUGGUUCUAUCCUGCUCUGCAAUAUCCACUAUUCCACUUCUACAUAGAAAAUGAUAGUCAAUGAAGUACCAAAAUUGAAUUGUUUGGGAGUUUUUUCAUAACACUGAUACACAUACAUACAUAUAUACCCCUCUGCUCUUCCACUCCCAAUUAGGAGAAGACCAAUGCAUUCAUUUUAGUUUGGGAAUUAAGCAGUAUUUGAACCCUGCUCUCUGAAAGGGAAAGAUGAAAUCAUGAUCACAGGAUAUGUUGGUUUCGUUUCAACGCAGAGUAAGGUUUUCCUAUUUUAGUUUGAGAAGAAAUCAAAUAUUGUACUUCAUUUUUGCUUUUAUAUACUUCUGAUAGCUAUUUCUAAUAAGUAUUCAAAAGAAUCAUAAACAUGUUG
Long non-coding RNA from Gopherus flavomarginatus (Mexican gopher tortoise), 1716 nucleotides. RefSeq lists it as uncharacterized. The transcript is spliced from 4 exons. NCBI's taxonomy places the organism in Eukaryota, Metazoa, Chordata, Testudines, Testudinidae. The record is from RefSeq and is a predicted model, not a curated record.